Molecule: ribosomal RNA, 206 nt
Filed under: uncultured bacterium
Lineage: Bacteria
Description: partial 16S ribosomal RNA
Rfam family: Bacterial small subunit ribosomal RNA
Source: RNAcentral
CGCGUAGGCGGCCAUUCAAGUCGGGGGUGAAAGCCCAGGGCUCAACCCUGGAAUUGCCUUCGAUACUGUUUGGCUAGAGACCGGAAGAGGUAAGUGGAACUGCGAGUGUAGAGGUGAAAUUCGUAGAUAUUCGCAAGAACACCAGUGGCGAAGGCGGCUUACUGGUCCGGUUCUGACGCUGAGGCGCGAAAGCGUGGGAGCAAACA